Molecule: ribosomal RNA, 482 nt
Filed under: uncultured bacterium
Lineage: Bacteria
Description: partial 16S ribosomal RNA
Rfam family: Bacterial small subunit ribosomal RNA
Source: RNAcentral
AUUGAACGCUGGCGGCAUGCCUUACACAUGCAAAUCGAACGGUAACGGGCCUUCGGGUGCCGACGAGUGGCGCACGGGUGCGUAAUACAUCGGAACGUGCCCGAUCGUGGGGGAUAACGAGGCGAAAGCUUUGCUAAUACCGCAUACGAUCUACGGAUGAAAGCAGGGGACCGCAAGGCCUUGCGCGGACGGAGCGGCCGCUGGCAGAUUAUGUAGAUGGUGGGAUAAAAGCUUACCAAGCCGACGAUCUGUAGCUGGUCUGAGAGGAUGAUCAGCCACACUGGAACUGAGACACGGCCCAGACUCCUACGGGAGGCAGCAGUGGGGAAUUUUGGACAAUGGGCGCAAGCCUGAUCCAGCCAUGCCGCGUGCAGGAUGAAGGCCUUCGGGUUGUAAAGUGAUUUUGUACGGAACGAAAAGCCUUCUUUUAAUACAGGAGGGUCAUGACGGUACCGUAAGAAUAAGCACCGGCUAACUACGUG